CCCAAAGGCCCCCGCCCCCACGCCUGUUCUUCCUUAUUGGUGCGCUCACAGUCCGUGCCUUCCCAUUGGCUCGCGGCACCUACCUCCUCGCCCUCAACUCCAGUAUCGGAACCUUGGCUUACCCCCGGUCCCCGGCCGGACUGGUCCUGCUUGGUGACCCUCGGUCCAUUGUGGUCACCUCACACACUCCGCCACUUGCCAGCUGACAGCUUGGAGCCGGGACAGGGACACAGGUUUGCCAGCCCGGGCGGGACUCUGUCUAGUUCUUGGCUCAGUAUUGGAGAACGGCGAGGCCAGAAGGCGCGCAGGAAGACGUGAACUCGCGUGCGGGGCUUCCGCGUUCGCUGCCUGGGAGAUGGAGUCGGAAGGGGCGGCUCACUGGGCUCACCCCUACGCUUCGGCCUUCCGAGAGGACCCUUUCCUACUUUCGUCUGCCCUGCGUUGGGAUCAGUACUGAGAAAGUCCUAACUCUGCCUGGCCCGGGCCGGCCGAUAAACAAACGAAUGUUCAGGGAGACUGGAUAGGAGAUUGGGAUGGUCCUGACCCACCGAGGUUGGGCUACGUGUGCACGCGGGGGUGCUCUCCCGCUUAGUCAGGAUGACCCCUUCAGCAGGCUACUUGAAGACAACUGACAGGUAGCCCUAGCUUGCUAGGUAGGGAUGCUAGUCUGGCAUCAGCCCCAGAUGGCCCGGUGGCAUCAAGAAUGUGUCACCAGGGUACCUGGGUGCCGUCGGUGGAGGUGGUGGAGCAGGGGCGAACCCACCGGUGAAACGAUGGCAUAAAAGAGGCAGCUGACUUCAGGCUGAGCCUCUCGGUUGAUUUGCUUCCAGAAAGGUGCUCUUCUCAUCCCUCCCUGCUCACCUCAGGGGAGUGAGUGGCUAAUGUGUUCUGCUGCUUGCUCCAGAUAGUUUUUGGUUAAACCAGGGCUGAACCCCCAGGAAACCCUCAAACCCCAAGAUCCAGGAUGCUCACACUCCAUGCCUUGUGCAAGACGCGUGUCAAGCCACGGUGGGACGAGACGCACCUUG
RNAcentral lists this long non-coding RNA (1028 nucleotides) under Rhinolophus ferrumequinum (greater horseshoe bat). Its description in RNAcentral is "lncRNA (ENSRFEG00010020514.1)". The record is from RNAcentral. Lineage: Eukaryota; Metazoa; Chordata; Mammalia; Chiroptera; Rhinolophidae.